Molecule: non-coding RNA, 209 nt
Filed under: Schnuerera ultunensis
Lineage: Bacteria; Bacillati; Bacillota; Tissierellia; Tissierellales; Tepidimicrobiaceae
Also listed under: 1 other name
Description: Clostridium ultunense T-box sequence
Rfam family: T-box leader
About the family: Uncharged tRNA acts as the effector for transcription antitermination of genes in the T-box leader family. T-boxes are found upstream of many aminoacyl-tRNA synthetase genes and some amino acid biosynthetic genes usually in Gram-positive bacteria. The anticodon of a specific tRNA base pairs to a specifier sequence within the T-box motif, and the NCCA acceptor tail of the tRNA base pairs to a conserved bulge in the T-box antiterminator hairpin.
Source: RNAcentral
UAUGAAACUAUGAUCAAGAGUAGUAGAUAUAAUAAAGGUCCUAAGCGAGUCAGGGAUGGUGGGAGCCUGAUGAUACUAUUAUAUCCAAUGGACUUGAGAGUUAAUAUCUGAAAUUAUAGUAGGAUAUUAGGACUAAUCCCCCUUACGGAUUAAAGUGGGCUAUAAGCCAAUUAGAGUGGUACCACGGAAGCAACCCUUUCGUCUCUUUU